CAGCUUCGCACGGGGACACCCCUGCGAUAGUAACUGAGACAACUCUCAACAACGGAUAUCUUGGCUCUCGCAACGAUGAAGAACGCAGCGAAAUGCGAUACGUAGUGUGAAUUGCAGAAUUCCGUGAGUCAUCGAAUCUUUGAACGCACAUUGCCGGUCGACUCUUCGGAGGAGACCACAUCUGCCUCAGCGUCGGAAUA
Molecule: ribosomal RNA, 200 nt
Filed under: Ulva prolifera
Lineage: Eukaryota; Viridiplantae; Chlorophyta; Ulvophyceae; Ulvales; Ulvaceae
Description: 5.8S ribosomal RNA
Rfam family: 5.8S ribosomal RNA (bases 41-195)
About the family: 5.8S ribosomal RNA (5.8S rRNA) is a component of the large subunit of the eukaryotic ribosome.
Source: RNAcentral